AAAUUGAAGAGUUUGAUCAUGGCUCAGAUUGAACGCUGGCGGCAGGCCUAACACAUGCAAGUCGAGCGGUAGCACAGAGAGCUUGCUCUCGGGUGACGAGCGGCGGACGGGUGAGUAAUGUCUGGGAAACUGCCUGAUGGAGGGGGAUAACUACUGGAAACGGUAGCUAAUACCGCAUAACGUCGCAAGACCAAAGUGGGGGACCUUCGGGCCUCAUGCCAUCAGAUGUGCCCAGAUGGGAUUAGCUAGUAGGUGGGGUAACGGCUCACCUAGGCGACGAUCCCUAGCUGGUCUGAGAGGAUGACCAGCCACACUGGAACUGAGACACGGUCCAGACUCCUACGGGAGGCAGCAGUGGGGAAUAUUGCACAAUGGGCGCAAGCCUGAUGCAGCCAUGCCGCGUGUGUGAAGAAGGCCUUCGGGUUGUAAAGCACUUUCAGCGGGGAGGAAGGCGGUAAGGUUAAUAACCUUGUCGAUUGACGUUACCCGCAGAAGAAGCACCGGCUAACUCCGUGCCAGCAGCCGCGGUAAUACGGAGGGUGCAAGCGUUAAUCGGAAUUACUGGGCGUAAAGCGCACGCAGGCGGUCUGUCAAGUCGGAUGUGAAAUCCCCGGGCUCAACCUGGGAACUGCAUUCGAAACUGGCAGGCUAGAGUCUUGUAGAGGGGGGUAGAAUUCCAGGUGUAGCGGUGAAAUGCGUAGAGAUCUGGAGGAAUACCGGUGGCGAAGGCGGCCCCCUGGACAAAGACUGACGCUCAGGUGCGAAAGCGUGGGGAGCAAACAGGAUUAGAUACCCUGGUAGUCCACGCCGUAAACGAUGUCGAUUUGGAGGUUGUGCCCUUGAGGCGUGGCUUCCGGAGCUAACGCGUUAAAUCGACCGCCUGGGGAGUACGGCCGCAAGGUUAAAACUCAAAUGAAUUGACGGGGGCCCGCACAAGCGGUGGAGCAUGUGGUUUAAUUCGAUGCAACGCGAAGAACCUUACCUGGUCUUGACAUCCACAGAACUUUCCAGAGAUGGAUUGGUGCCUUCGGGAACUGUGAGACAGGUGCUGCAUGGCUGUCGUCAGCUCGUGUUGUGAAAUGUUGGGUUAAGUCCCGCAACGAGCGCAACCCUUAUCCUUUGUUGCCAGCGGUUAGGCCGGGAACUCAAAGGAGACUGCCAGUGAUAAACUGGAGGAAGGUGGGGAUGACGUCAAGUCAUCAUGGCCCUUACGACCAGGGCUACACACGUGCUACAAUGGCAUAUACAAAGAGAAGCGACCUCGCGAGAGCAAGCGGACCUCAUAAAGUAUGUCGUAGUCCGGAUUGGAGUCUGCAACUCGACUCCAUGAAGUCGGAAUCGCUAGUAAUCGUAGAUCAGAAUGCUACGGUGAAUACGUUCCCGGGCCUUGUACACACCGCCCGUCACACCAUGGGAGUGGGUUGCAAAAGAAGUAGGUAGCUUAACCUUCGGGAGGGCGCUUACCACUUUGUGAUUCAUGACUGGGGUGAAGUCGUAACAAGGUAACCGUAGGGGAACCUGCGGUUGGAUCACCUCCUUACCUUAAAGAA
RNAcentral lists this ribosomal RNA (1550 nucleotides) under Klebsiella pneumoniae. RNAcentral's name for it is "bacterial SSU rRNA". It matches the Rfam family "Bacterial small subunit ribosomal RNA". The record is from RNAcentral. Lineage: Bacteria; Pseudomonadati; Pseudomonadota; Gammaproteobacteria; Enterobacterales; Enterobacteriaceae.